GAUGAACGCUGGCGGCGUGCUUUAACACAUGCAAGUCGAACGAAGAUGCCAUAGUAGAAGCAAUUAGCUUGCUAAGAGUGGACACAGUGGGAUCUUAGUGGCGGACGGGUGAGUAACGCGUGGGUAACCUGCCGUAUACAGGGGGAUAACACCUGGAAACAGGUGCUAAUACCGCAUAAGCGCACGAUGUCGCAUGGCAACGUGUGAAAGCCGAGACGGUAUACGAUGGACCCGCGUCUGAUUAGCUGGUUGGUGAGGUAGAGGCUCACCAAGGCGACGAUCAGUAGCCGGCCUGAGAGGGUGAACGGCCACAUUGGGACUGAGACACGGCCCAAACUCCUACGGGAGGCAGCAGUGGGAAUAUUGCACAAUGGGGAAACCUGAUGCAGCGACGCCGCGUGAGUGAAGAGUAUUCGGUAUGUAAAGCUCUAUCAGCAGGGAAGAAAGAAGACGGUACCUGACUAAGAAGCCCCGGCUAACUAC
This 483-nucleotide ribosomal RNA is filed under the name uncultured bacterium. RNAcentral's name for it is "bacterial SSU rRNA". It matches the Rfam family "Bacterial small subunit ribosomal RNA", at positions 28 to 504 of the family's 1533-position model. The record is from RNAcentral.